Molecule: ribosomal RNA, 493 nt
Filed under: uncultured bacterium
Lineage: Bacteria
Description: partial 16S ribosomal RNA
Rfam family: Bacterial small subunit ribosomal RNA
Source: RNAcentral
AGUGAACGCUGGCGGUAGGCCUAACACAUGCAAGUCGAACGGCAGCACAGUAAGAGCUUGCUCUUACGGGUGGCGAGUGGCGGACGGGUGAGGAAUACAUCGGAAUCUACUUUUUCGUGGGGGAUAACGUAGGGAAACUUACGCUAAUACCGCAUACGACCUACGGGUGAAAGCAGGGGAUCUUCGGACCUUGCGCGAUUGAAUGAGCCGAUGUCGGAUUAGCUAGUUGGCGGGGCAAAGGCCCACCAAGGCGACGAUCCGUAGCUGGUCUGAGAGGAUGAUCAGCCAAACUGGAACUGAGACACGGUCCAGACUCCUACGGGAGGCAGCAGUGGGGGAUAUUGGACAAUGGGCGCAAGCCUGAUCCAGCCAUACCGCGUGGGUGAAGAAGGCCUUCGGGUUGUGAAGCCCUUUUGUUGGGAAAGAAAAGCAGCAGGUUAAUACCCCGCUGUUCUGGCGGUACCCAAAGAAUAAGCACCGGCUAACUUCGUGC